Molecule: long non-coding RNA, 2688 nt
Organism: Papaver somniferum (opium poppy)
Lineage: Eukaryota; Viridiplantae; Streptophyta; Magnoliopsida; Ranunculales; Papaveraceae
Exons: 2
Source: RefSeq, a predicted model, not a curated record
CUAUAACUCCUGCCUACAGUUUGUUGAUUUUUCCAGGGUUUUAUUUUGUGCUUUAAGAGGCAAACCAGAAUAAAAAAAACUUCGUGCUUUAGGAGGCAAACCAUAAUCAGAAAGACUAUGAUGAAGAAGAAUAAAAAAGGAGGUAUACGCAUAAAUAAAAACCCUAAGGUUUGUUCUUUUAAUCUUUUGUUUAUCUCCCGUUUUUCCUGGACCUUAUUUUGUUGUCGAUUUUUUUUUUCUUUAGGGUUAAUUCGAAGGUUGGGUUCUCUGAUUUAUCGUGUUUUCUCUGAUAUUUUUAGGGUUAAUCUUUAGGUUAUCUCCCGUUUUUAUUUUUAUGAUUUUAGUGUACUUGAUCAAGUGUUCUUUUGAUUGAGGAAUUUAAUUGGUUAAUGGUUGUCUGAUUUUCCGUGUUUUCAGUUUACUAUUAGGGUUUGUAAAAUUCGUAAUUUUGGUUUAUUGAUUGAAAGAUAAUAGGUUACUGAUUUGGGCUAUGUUUUGCUAUUCCACACCAACAAAAAUCAACCAGGAGACAAUUUCCAUAUGUUUCCCAACCCUUCUACUUUCUUUAUUUUUGCAUUUCUUUUUCUUUUUUGUUUUGGAUUUUUGAUUAUAUCCUGGAUUUUAAACAAGUUAGUUUGUAAAAAUAUUAGAUCCAAUUUUAUUAAGGUAUUAGUUGGUGCUUUUUGCUAUAAUUAUUUUUAUCCUUCAUGAAAUUUCUGUCUGGUCAGAUGCUUUAGUUUAUAUGCCAUGCUGCAUAUAAGAAGUUGAUGGAAAAAAAAUCAUAGCUCUUCGAACAUGUCUCCCUAGGUAUUCCUUUCUCUUUGAAUAAUUCGAUUACUUACAUAUAAAAUGGUUUGUGGUGUGUGGUGAACUAUUUUGCUUAUGUACUGCAUAGAACUAAAUUUAUUCCUGUGACUUAUAUCAAUUUGGAAAGAAAUUAGGUUUUUUGCCGUAAACUUAUGGUGGAGACUCAAACUGUAAGGCUAUCUGUAUUGAAACAUGGCUAGAGCAGCACAAUGGUUUGUAUUCAACUAAACAAUAGGAGGAGCAUCAGAUUUCGGGGAAUCCAUUUAGUUUAUUCCAUCGGUUUGUUUUGCGGGUUUUCUUUUAUUUUGUGUUCUAAUAAAUUUUUAUGUUUAAUCAUUGACGAAGGUACUAUAUUGAAGAAGAUAAAGAUAUAUGAGUGCCUCGUCAAUGACAAUGGUAGCAAAGUCUAUACUAUCAAGGUAAACAAAAUCAGACUCUAAAAAAAAUUAUAGUUCAGGCUAGGGUUUAUUUUGCAACUUUUGGUUGGAUAUUUUUCUUAUGGAAUUAACUUUAGAUUGUUAUAGAGGACAAUGAAAGUAAUCUUGAUCUGUUGUAGUUGCAAUCACUGAGAAGAUUUUAUUAGAGGUGAUAGGGAUUGUCGAAUCCACAGUAUCUGAUCAUUCUUCUUUUAUCGGUUUGGUUCUUGAUUACUUAGUGAGGAAUUGUUCAAUUUAGUACCAUGAAUUGUGGAUGAUUAAUUUUAAAUCCUAACGGAUUUUUGGUUUAGAUCAUUGGUGUGUUGCUUUAUUGAAGAGAUCUCUUUUAAGGUAGUGCACUUUUCUCUUUGCUUCGCUGCUUUCCAAUUUUUCAGUUCUAAACUCUGUAUAGAUUUGUCAAGUAAGCCUGAUUGGAGAUGUAGCCUUGACGUCAUGUCAAUUUUUUAUAUCGCCCAUUCGUUACGUUGCUUGAUAUAACUAUUUGCUCAGUUUUAGAGCAAAUUUUUUAAUGGAAGCUUCUUAGUUUUUGUACUUGCAGGAAAGUACUACACUGGCGGUGUGAGGUGAGUUUUAUUAUCUCGAGGGCACUCAUGUAUCAAUAUAGUCACGGAUACACAUUUGCACAUUUAUACUACAUUCAUUCAUCGAGGGCACUCGUGUAUUCAGUUUGUGGAGCGAAUUUUAUGAGUAUAUUGAUUCAUGGAGUUCAUGCAUCAAAAAAAAUAAAAAUUGAUUCAUGGAAAGCACUUACGGUAUUCAAGUAUAUAAUUGGUUUUUAAUUUGUGAGCAUUCCGGUUCCUACAAUCAUUGUUUGUUAAUUUAACUCAUUUUUAUGUAGGCUAAAGUGCCAUUGGAAAGACAAGCUCUCUUUGCCAAAUGUUUUAGAAGAUUAAGAACUCGCGUAGGCAGAAUCGACAAUUGAAGAGCUUAAUGUGAAAAUACGAGAAUGCAAAAGAACGUUAUCGUGGUUCUAUCUACUUGGUCCACUAUACGUAUUUUCUGCGACUUCUCAAGAUAUAAGUGCAUGCAUAUGAGGCAGGUUUUUUAGAAGGAGCAGAACUGGAUGAGGAACCUGUAAACUAGAAUAGUAAAAGGAAGGAUGCACUAGGAAUCGUGAACAAGCUGCUUAAUCCAUUUCAUUGCUCUUGAACUGUAUCACAUCCUUGAUAAUGGUAUCUUGCAAUAAGUCCAAAUGAUAUUGUGGGGGUGGUGGAGGAGGGCCUGAGCCAAGAGAUGAGGUGGGGAUGGUGGUUUUGGGCGAGUAGAGAUUCGGUGUUGGAUCUGGUGUUGGUCGUGUCGUUGGAUUGUAUUUGGUGGUGGUAGUGGCGGCUUAAGUGGUUGCAUAAGGAAUUUCAUUUCUUUAUUUUCUAAAAUUUUAUGUUUAGAAUUAGCAAAACAUGCGUAUACAUAAAUUCUUAUCAUCCAUGAUAAUAUUUGUGAGACA